Molecule: ribosomal RNA, 1179 nt
Filed under: Candidatus Phytoplasma cynodontis
Lineage: Bacteria; Bacillati; Mycoplasmatota; Mollicutes; Acholeplasmatales; Acholeplasmataceae
Description: bacterial SSU rRNA
Rfam family: Bacterial small subunit ribosomal RNA
Source: RNAcentral
GGCGUAUAUAGAGGCUCUUUUAUUUUAAAAGACCUUUUUCGAGGGUAUACUUAGAGAGGGGGUAUCGCUAUAUAGAGAGAAGGGAGGGUAAAAGCCUAUUAUCAUAUGAUGUAGAGAGAGAAUGAGAGGUUGAACAGCCACAUUGGGACUGAGACACGGCCCAAACUCCUACUGGACGCACCAGUAGGGAAUUUUCGGCAAUGGAGGAAACUCUGACCGAGCAACGCCGCGUGAACGAUGAAGUGUGUGGGUGUGUAAAGUUCUUUUAUUGAAGAAGAAAAAAUAGUGGAAAAACUAUCUUGACGAUAUUCAAUGAAUAAGCCCCGGCAAACUAUGUGCCAGCAGCCGCGGUAAUACAUAGGGGGCGAGCGUUAUCCGGAAUUAUUGGGCGUAAAGGGUGCGUAGGCGGUUUGGUAAGUCUAUAGUUUAAUUUCAGUGCUUAACACUGUUCUGCUAUAGAAACUAUCAGACUAGAGUGAGAUAGAGGCAAGUGGAAUUCCAUGUGUAGCGGUAAAAUGCGUAAAUAUAUGGAGGAACACCAGAGGCGUAGGCGGCUUGCUGGGUCUUUACUGACGCUGAGGCACGAAAGCGUGGGGAGCAAACAGGAUUAGAUACCCUGGUAGUCCACGCCGUAAACGAUGAGUACUAAGUGUCGGGGAAACUCGGUACUGAAGUUAACACAUUAAGUACUCCGCCUGAGUAGUACGUACGCAAGUAUGAAACUUAAAGGAAUUGACGGGACUCCGCACAAGCGGUGGAUCAUGUUGUUUAAUUCGAAGAUACACGAAAAACCUUACCAGGUCUUGACAUACUCUGCAAAGCUAUAGCAAUAUAGUGGAGGUUACCAGGGAUACAGGUGGUGCAUGGUUGUCGUCAGCUCGUGUCGUGAGAUGUUAGGUUAAGUCCUAAAACGAGCGCAACCCUUGUCACUAGUUGCCAGCAUGUUAUGAUGGGCACUUUAGUGAGACUGCCAAUGAAAAAUUGGAGGAAGGUGAGGAUCACGUCAAAUCAUCAUGCCCCUUAUGAUCUGGGCUACAAACGUGAUACAAUGGCUGUUACAAAGAGUAGCUAAACCCCGAGUUUAUACCGAUAUCAUAAAAGCAGUCUCAGUUCUUAUGAAGUCUCGACUCGCUUCAUGAAGUGGAAUCGCUAGUAAUCGCGAAUCAGCAUGUCGCGGUA